AUAAUUGUAGCUCCUACGAUUAAGAGACCUGUUUACAAAAUGGAAAAUUUUGCAAAAAAUUUUCAAACCUUUAUCAGGUGGGAAAUUCGGUGAAUUACAACAAACUUUUCAUUUUGUUUUGAGUAUAAGUUACCUACCCGUGAGGGAAAUUGGUGUAAACUAAUUUUACAAUAACUGCUCUGUCAUAAGAAAUCGUAACUAGAAGCUGACAGAAAUGUCAGCUUCUAGAUGGGAAAGGCAGAGGUUUUAAUCAGUGUAACGACUAUUAAAAAAUACUUGAAGCAGGAUCGGUGUUUGAUAGAGAUGGAAAGGGAAGGAUGCAUAUGCAUCUUGAUGUAUGGUGUUCUACCUUUGUUGUCUCUUCUUACGCUGUUAAAGAAAAACUUGUGUGACUUAUUUUGUCCUCUUUGUUAGUGGGAAACCUCUCUUGAGGUUCUAGUUUGCAGAGAUAGGAGAAGGUAAGGUCUGUUGAGUGCAAUCGUAGGAUACCUCUGUUAUGAACAGACUUCUGUCUUGACGUUAGUUCGAUUUGAUGAAAGUUUGUGAUUGCUCAGGUGAACCCGAUACCGAUUAUUACAGUUAU
Molecule: RNase P RNA, 583 nt
Filed under: Tetrapisispora phaffii CBS 4417
Lineage: Eukaryota; Fungi; Ascomycota; Saccharomycetes; Saccharomycetales; Saccharomycetaceae
Description: Nuclear RNase P
Rfam family: Nuclear RNase P (bases 20-269)
Source: Rfam by way of RNAcentral